AGGCACAUCUUUUGCGCAAGGUAUCGAAGGGCGCUAUGUUCAAAAAUCUGAAACUAGAGCUCAAAAUUUGAAAAAAAAUUGUCAAAAACAGGGGGAUUGGCCUAUUCCAUGGCUUCUAGAGAAAAAUAAUGAGGGGUGUAACGGGGUAUGACUAUAUAGGUCUUGUAGAGGAGAAACAGGCGCAUCUUUUGCGCAAGGUAUCGAAGGGCGCUAUGUUCAAAAAUCUGAAACUAGAGCUCAAAAUUUGAAAAAAAAUUGUUAAAAACAGGGGGGUUGGCCUAUUCCAUGGCUUCUAGAGAAAAAUAAUGAGAGGUGUCACGGGGUAUGACUAUAUAGGUCUUGUAGAGGAGAAACAGGCGCAUCUUUUGCGCAAGGUAUUGAAGGGCGCUAUGUUCAAAAAUCUGAAACUAGAGCUCAAAAUUUGAAAAAAAAUUGUUAAAAACAGGGGGGUUGGCCUAUUCCAUGGCUUCUAGAGAAAAAUAAUGAGGGGUGUCACGGGGUAUGACUAUAUAGGUCUUGUAGAGGAGAAACAGGCGCAUCUUUUGCGCAAGGUAUUGAAGGGCGCUAUGUUCAAAAAUCUGAAACUAGAGCUCAAAAUUUGAAAAAAAAUUGUUAAAAACAGGGGGGUUGGCCUAUUCCAUGGCUUCUAGAGAAAAAUAAUGAGGGGUGUCACGGGGUAUGACUAUAUAGGUCUUGUAGAGGAGAAACAGGCGCAUCUUUUGCGCAAGGUAUCGAAGGGCGCUAUGUUCAAAAAUCUGAAACUAGAGCUCAAAAUGUGAAAAAAAAUUGUUAAAGUCAGGGGGGUUGGCCUAUUCCAUGGCUUCUAGAGAAAAAUAAUGAGGGGUGUUACGGGGUAUGACUAUAUAGGUCUUGUAGAGGAGAAACAGGCGCAUCUUUUGCGCAAGGUAUCAAAGGGCGCUAUGUUCAAAAAUCUAAAACUAGAGCUCAAAAUUUGAAAAAAAAAUUGUUAAAAACAGGGGGGUUGGCCUAUUCCAUGGCUUCUAGAGAAAAAUAAUGAGGGGUGUCACGGGGUAUGACUAUAAAGGUCUUGUAGAGGAGAAACAGGCGCAUCUUUUGCGCAAGGUAUCGAAGGGCGCUAUGUUAAAAAAUCUGAAACUAGAGCUCAAAAUUUGAAAAAAAAAAUGUUAAAAACAGGAGGGUUGGCCUAUUCCAUGGCUUCUAGAGAAAAAUAAUGAGGGGUGUCACGGGGUAUGACUAUAUAGGUCUUGUAGAGGAGAAACAGGCGCAUCUUUUGCGCAAGGUAUCGAAGGGCGCUAUGUUCAAAAAUUUGAAACUAGAGCUCAAAAUUUGAAAAAAAAUUGUUAAAAACAGGGGGGUUGGCCUAUUCCAUGGCUUCUAGAGAAAAAUAAUGAGGGGUGUCAUGGGGUAUGACUAUAUAGGUCUUGUAGAGGAGAGACAGGCGCAUCUUUUGCGCAAGGUAUCGAAGGGCGCUAUGUUCAAAAAUUUGAAAC
Molecule: long non-coding RNA, 1472 nt
Organism: Mytilus californianus (California mussel)
Lineage: Eukaryota; Metazoa; Mollusca; Bivalvia; Mytilida; Mytilidae
Exons: 5
Source: RefSeq, a predicted model, not a curated record